This 525-nucleotide ribosomal RNA is filed under the name uncultured eubacterium WR148. RNAcentral's name for it is "bacterial SSU rRNA". It matches the Rfam family "Bacterial small subunit ribosomal RNA", at positions 9 to 527 of the family's 1533-position model. The record is from RNAcentral.
GAGUUUGAUCAUGGCUCAGAUUGAACGCUGGCGGCAUGCCUUACACAUGCAAGUCGAACGGCAGCACGGGGGCAACCCUGGUGGCGAGUGGCGAACGGGUGAGUAAUACAUCGGAACGUGUCCUGUAGUGGGGGAUAGCCCGGCGAAAGCCGGAUUAAUACCGCAUACGAUCUGUGGAUGAAAGCGGGGGAUCCUUCGGGACCUCGCGCUACAGGGGCGGCCGAUGGCAGAUUAGCUAGUUGGUGGGGUAAAGGCCUACCAAGGCGACGAUCUGUAGCUGGUCUGAGAGGACGACCAGCCACACUGGGACUGAGACACGGCCCAGACUCCUACGGGAGGCAGCAGUGGGGAAUUUUGGACAAUGGGCGAAAGCCUGAUCCAGCAAUGCCGCGUGUGUGAAGAAGGCCUUCGGGUUGUAAAGCACUUUUGUCCGGAAAGAAAACCUAGUGGUUAAUACCCGUGGGGGAUGACGGUACCGGAAGAAUAAGCACCGGCUAACUACGUGCCAGCAGCCGCGGUAAUACG